AUUCUUAAAACAUGCGGGCUUUCAACGUGGAGCGAGAUCGGAGUGACUUGGCCUGCUUCUUCGUGUUAGAAACCGCAGUGAUAUAAAGUGCAGAACCGCAACAGAUCGCGGUUGAAAAGUUCUACAUGACUUUGUCAGAGUCUGAUCCAGUCCGAUAUGAAUACAUCAGUCCACUUGGCCAGGAUGUUCAACAACCAAG
Lineus longissimus is the source of this 199-nucleotide long non-coding RNA. RefSeq lists it as uncharacterized. The transcript is spliced from 3 exons. The record is from RefSeq and is a predicted model, not a curated record. NCBI's taxonomy places the organism in Eukaryota, Metazoa, Nemertea, Pilidiophora, Heteronemertea, Lineidae.